Sciurus carolinensis (gray squirrel) is the source of this 73-nucleotide non-coding RNA. Lineage: Eukaryota; Metazoa; Chordata; Mammalia; Rodentia; Sciuridae. The record is from the annotation of a RefSeq genome assembly.
GGAUGUAGCUCAGUGGUAGAGUGUGUGCCUGGCAUGCACAAAGAGCCCUGGGUUCAACUCCCAGCACCACACA